GAGCGUGUAGUUCAGUGGUAGAACGCUGUCCUGAUAAGACAGAGGUCGAUGGUCCUAUUCCAUCCACGCUCA
This 72-nucleotide transfer RNA is filed under the name Candidatus Nomurabacteria bacterium. RNAcentral describes it as "tRNA-Ile". It matches the Rfam family "tRNA". From Rfam's summary of the family: Transfer RNA (tRNA) molecules are approximately 80 nucleotides in length. Their secondary structure includes four short double-helical elements and three loops (D, anti-codon, and T loops). The record is from RNAcentral. Lineage: Bacteria; Candidatus Nomuraibacteriota.